Molecule: long non-coding RNA, 371 nt
Organism: Hyaena hyaena (striped hyena)
Lineage: Eukaryota; Metazoa; Chordata; Mammalia; Carnivora; Hyaenidae
Exons: 2
Source: RefSeq, a predicted model, not a curated record
AGGGCUUGUGUCACCAUGGGAAGCAGUGCUGGGAUGGGGAAAUCUGAAGUGUAAUGGAAAAAUUGUUGGAGGCUAAUUGUGGACAAGUCUGAGAAAUGAAAACUCCAGGGGGAGCAAGCUUGCAUCUGGCUUGUCCCUUUGGAGACCUUUCAUAAAAGAUGAAUCUCUUGACUGGAUUUCUGGCAUGGCCUUCUACUGGAGCCUCAGUGCUAUUCUUUUGAUUCUGAUGGUGACCUCUUCAACAGGGACAGUUUACAUCCAUCCAGUGGAUGAGUUCUCUUCACUUAUGGGAACAGUCAAGCCUCUAGCAUGUCACCAAAAUGCUUACCUGUGGGUCUGGGAUUUCUUUGCAAAAAGCAUCUGACUAUUCA